CGGGUGAGUAACACGUGGAUAACCUACCUAUAAGACUGGGAUAACUUCGGGAAACCGGAGCUAAUACCGGAUAAUAUAUUGAACCGCAUGGUUCAAUAGUGAAAGACGGUUUUGCUGUCACUUAUAGAUGGAUCCGUGCCGCAUUAGCUAGUUGGUAAGGUAACGGCUCACCAAGGCAACGAUGCGUAGCCGACCUGAGAGGGUGAUCGGCCACACUGGAACUGAGACACGGUCCAGACUCCUACGGGAGGCAGCAGCA
Molecule: ribosomal RNA, 259 nt
Filed under: uncultured Staphylococcus sp.
Lineage: Bacteria; Bacillati; Bacillota; Bacilli; Caryophanales; Staphylococcaceae
Description: partial 16S ribosomal RNA
Rfam family: Bacterial small subunit ribosomal RNA
Source: RNAcentral